AUUUUUGGAAAGGGGGAGGUGCUUUCCUAGUGGCCAAAUGACUUGUGGGAGGACCACAGUCUGGAGGGGGAGGCUGGCCUGCCUCCUGGCUGGAGGAAGAUCCACGAUGCUGCAGGUACUUACUACUGGCAUGUACCCAGCGGUAGCACCCAGUGGCAGCGCCCAACCUGGGAACUAGGAGAUGCAGAGGACCCAGGCACGGUAGGUGGAGUGUGAGGAGGAGGUCUGAGCCCGUGUGUGGAUCUAGGUCUGCUGUUAAACUGACUAACUCCCACUCUACAGGGAACGGAGGGGAUCUGGGGACUGCGGCCCCCCAAAGGGAGAUCCUUCUCCAGCCUGGAGAGUUCACUGGACCGGAGGUAACGGGUGGCCCAGGCAAAAUGAAAGGCUUGGGGUUCCAUGGUGUUCAAAAACGCAGCUGGACCCAUGGUCUGCUUUCCAGCCCAGGUUCUGGAUUCUGUCACAUGUUUUGGGUUCUGUUACGUUCUUGGCUCUGUCCCAGGUUCUUAACUGUCAGUAUUUUGAGUUUUAUCCCUUGUUCUAAGCU
This 547-nucleotide small RNA is filed under the name Pan troglodytes (chimpanzee). Its description in RNAcentral is "retained intron". The record is from RNAcentral. Lineage: Eukaryota; Metazoa; Chordata; Mammalia; Primates; Hominidae.